Molecule: long non-coding RNA, 17224 nt
Filed under: Lynx pardinus (Iberian lynx)
Lineage: Eukaryota; Metazoa; Chordata; Mammalia; Carnivora; Felidae
Source: RNAcentral
GUGGCGGAGCUUGCCGUGAGGGGAGGGUCUUCCACUUGUCGCCAGCGUGAACUCUGGUGCCCCGUGAGUGUUCGGAAUGGACCCCCAAAUCUGCCCCCGCCAGGUCGCACUCGACUCUGUUUCGACGACUUUUUUUGUAUCACUUUCUCUUCCUUUUUGCCUUGGGGUCCCUUUGGUCCCUCCCUUUCUCUUCGCUCUCAGAAAUCCGAGUUUCGCAGAUGCUUAGCUCAGAGGAGAAAACUGUGUGCGGAAUUAAGUCCUUCCUUCUGUUAGGCAGUUGGAUGGGAGGGACCAAAAAUCACUUGGUGUCCUGACAAGAUUUGUUACUGUUGCUAAGAUCGUCAGCUCUAAUGCUUUGAGGGAGAUAACUUCCUGCAAACCCAGAACUUUCGGAUUUCUUCCGAGCUUGAAGGUAAGACCCCCUGGAGAAUUUUUCUUUUAAACUUUUAUGAUACACCCGUAAAGAUCUUAAUUUUAUUGCAAUUGUUAUAAAUGAAACUUGCUAAGAAAAAUCCGUUAGCGAUACUUAUUGAUGAUUGAAAGGCAAAAAAAAAUUUUUUAACUGUAAAAUAGUGGUUAGCAUCCUGAGUGUUCGAUGUUUUAUAAGCGUGUGUUUUGAUUUCUAGCUUAGAAGAUAAGGAAUUGGGGGAGAUGAGGUACAGUAGUACAGUUGCAACCGAGGCGAGGAGUAAGAUUUUAAUUUAACUCUGAGGUCUCACAGGAGAUUAACAAGUCAAAGGAACAGACGCAAAAAUAAAAGUCAAAUCAGGAAACGAGCAGUCGGAGAAUAUUCUUAAGUCUUAAAAGGAGCCCCAAGUUACCUGUAACUUUCUGGAAAACAGUUAAAAGUAACUUUCCAGGAUUAUCAUUUCUUGUGACCGUAUGAAAUUGGAAUUUUUUGUUUUCCCUUUUUUGUUUGUUUAGAAUACUUUGGAGUCAAAAUUUAAUAGUGGUCCAUUUUUUAGGUGCGUCAGAUUUUUAAAAUAAUCAAAGUAUUUACUUCCUUUAAUACAUAUCAGUGAAAGAAAGUGAAAACUUAGUGGUUGCAAUUGAUUGUCAGCAUAUGUAUUCACGAAAAGGAACAUUGGUGGAAAAGCAGACUAAGAGGAUGGGGCUGAAAAUCAUCAGCUACUAACUAGCUUUGUGACCUCCGUCACAAUGCUUCAUCUGUCAGAGCCUCUGUUUUAGUGGAAUAAAUUCAAUUACAUGAUCACUAAGGUCUCUUCCAUGCUCUAAACUUCUGCCAUAUGCAAGAAGCUUUACAAAGUCACACUGAAACCAUUACAAUUAGAGUAGCUUCUUUUUUUUAUUUAAAAAAAUUUUUUUUAAUGUUUAUUUAUUAUUGAGAGACAGAGCAUGAGCAUGGGAGGGGCAGAGACAGGAGAAGACACAGAAUCCGAAGCAGGCUCCAGGCUCUGAGCUGUCAGCACAGAACCUGACGCAGGGCUUGAACUCACAAACUGUGAGAUCAUGACCUGAAGUCAGAUGUUUAACUGACUGAGCCACCCAGGCGCCCUAGAGUAGCUUCUUAAUUGUUGACCUUCCAAGCGCAUAAAUGUGUCUCUUGUGUAUGGUAAUAUGGUAAUUGGAAACUUGUGCCAUUUAUUUUCUCAUCUCCCACAUAGAAGUCUAGGAUGUCUAACUUUGUAAGGGCCCAGCUACGAUGUACUCUCACCUACGAUGUACUCUCACCUUCAGGAAUUUUUUUCUGCUUGCACUAUAUAUAGUCUUUUAUACUAUUAUGCACUCUUAUCAGUCCUAACCUUAAAUUUGCAGAGCCUGGGCAAAUGUGGCUCAGAGGCUCACGUACCAUGUGUCUAAACAUUUAAGUUAUAAAUCAAGAUAACAAACUAUUAGAAAAAAAAUAUUCUGGGGCACCUGGCUGACUCAGUCAGUGCAGCAUGCAACUCUUGAUCUCAGGGUUUUAAGUUCGAGCCCCACAUUGGGUGUAGAGAUUAUCUAAAAAAUAAAAUCUUAAAAAAAAAAUGUAUUCUAUUCUAAUACAUGAUGUAUCUACUGAAAUAAUGAUCUGGAAGGCCAGGUUUAAAUUUAGAACUCUCAUAUUUCUAGCAUUCUCAGAUGCAUUCCAUUCUCUUCCCAUUCCCAGCUUCUUCACUUACCACACCAGAAGAAACCUUGCAUGUGUGCAUUCAACAUGUCCAAGCUUAUGUCCACAUCCUUCACUUCCUGCAAAUAGUGAUGUCUAAUCAGCACAGCUCUGUCUGCCCCCUGAUCUGGGCACACAUGGUCCCCUGAUCUCAUGGACUCCUUACACUUUGCAAUUGGAGGAAGAUCCUUCCAGGUAAUUCAGUUUGCACUAUUACUGUUAUCAGCGUUCAAUUAACUGUUUUCUUUCCUGUGUAAUCAACCAUUCUCUUUCAACUAGAUCAUUCCUUAUAAUAUUAGGAGAGAAUUCCCAUCACUGUCACCAAUUCCUGUUGGCUUAAUCUCUGCUGCCUUACUGAAACCAUCCACUUUUCUCCAUGCCCAUUGUUGGUACCCUAUUCAAAGUACUGCCCCCUCGCACCAGGAUAACUACACUGACCUUUGUUGUGAUUUCCCUAUAUUCUUGUUUUCUCAAAUCUGUUCUCCAUUCUACCCAGAAUGCUCUUUUCAAAACCUAAAUUUGGUAAUGUCUCUUUCCUUGCUUCACACCUGCCAGUGGCUUCCAUUGCUUUUAGGAGAAAGAGCAAAUCCUUAAUGUGACCUACAAGACACAUCAUGAUCUAGUACUUUCUUCUGUAUCAAGGUAAAAGCUCUUUAGUUUCUAGAAUGCACCAUGCUAUCUUUCAACCUAAGAAUAUCACAUAUGUUUCCACUGUGUGGAAAGCUUCUCUCCUUACCUGAUGCUUCUGUGAUGGUUUGGAUAAUGAGCAUAAUGGCGGCAGAUAUCAUGAAUACCUCCAUUAUUUCUAACCUGCAUGACUUGAUGGACAGUGGUACCAUUCACUGAGCUAGGAAACAUUGGAAAAGGGACAAGUUUGGACUACUUCCUGACCUUGGACCUGAUGAACAUGAGAUGCUGGUGAGAAAUCACUUCCUUUGGAUCUCAACUUAAGCCAAUUCUCACUUGUUUAGAAAACCUACCUUUUCUUCCCCAUCAAGACUAGAUUCCUUGUUUGUUCCUGUUCUUUUUAUCCCCAUUUCUUCUGCUUUUCGUUGUUGUUAUCAACUCACUGAUAAUCUUUCCCACACCUUUUCAUUCUCUCCUCUAUAACAAGCUCUGUUGAAAACAUACCCCAUAUACCCUGCUUCUCCAUCUUGUUUGAACCUUGAGGACACAGCCUGUACAUUUGAAAGUUGUUUCUUCUCAGGGCGCCUGAGUGGCUCAGUCAGGUAAGUGUCCGACUCUUAAUUUCAACUCAGGUCAUGAUCUCACAUCAAGACUCCACACUGGUCUUGAGCCUGCUUAAGAUUCUCUCUGUCCCUCUCACAGAAUUUCAGGUUGUUAGUAGUCUUUCAAAGUCAUGUCAAAAUCCCUCCCUCCUAUCAGAUUUUUGUGGUAUGGCUGUAUCAUCCUUCACUGACUUCCUGGUCAUUUUGCCACACUUAAUGAAGAUUUUGAUAUUUUGCUUAUGUUCAUGCCCUGUACCCUUCAGCCAACAUUUUAACUGACCUCAGUGUCCACACUAAUGAGCCAUCCAAUAUUCUUGCCUCAGUGUUUCUUCUAGGACUUGCAUUUCCAUUCUGUUUCAGUCACAAAAUAGCCCUUUCCUGAUCCUUUUCAUCACUCUUCCAUCUCUGAAAUCCUAAACUACAGUGUUUUAAUAUUCAGGUUCCUCAUUCCUCUAUACCAUACCCUUCCCUUUGACCUCAGGAGUACUCCCAGACUCUAGAUCUUUCUUUUUUACCUAAUUAUGAUUGCCAAAUAAAAUAUAGGACACCCAGUUAAAUUUGGAUUUCAGGUAAACAAUGAAUAAAUUUUUAAUAUAAGUAUCCUCCUACAGAAUUUGGAAUGUAUUUAUACUAAAAAGAUAAUCUUUUUUUAAUUAAAAAAAAUUUUUUUUAAUGUUUAUUUAUUUUUGAGAGAUAGAGUGCAAGGGGAGGGGCAGAGAGAGAGGGAGACACAGAAUCUGAAGCAAGCUCCAGGCCCUGAGCUUUCCACACAGAGCCCAACACAGGGCUUAAGCUCAUGAACCAUGAGAUCAUGACCUGAGCUGAAGUCAGAUAUUUAACCCACUGAGCCAUCCUGGUGCCCCUAAUUUUUUUUCUUAAUGUUUAUUUAUUUUUGAGAGAGAGAGAUACAGAGUACGAGCAGGGGAGGGUCGAAGAGAGAGGGAGACACAAAAUCUGAAGCAGGCUCCAGGCUCCAAGCUGUCAGCACAGAGCCCAACACGGGACUCAAACCCACGAACUGUGUGAUCAUGAAAUGAGCUGAAGUCAGAUGCUUAACCGACUGAGCCACCCAGGCACCCCAAAAAUAUUCUUUAUUUAUCUGAAAUUCAAGCUUAACUAGAUGCCCCUUUUUAAUUUUCUCAGUAAAUCUGGAAGCCCUAUAGUAAUCCAUCCUUUCUAUACUUUCUUCACUCUCCAGCCUAGAGUCUAUAGUAUGUAAUUGGUAGCAAACAUUUACUAACACCUCAGUUCCUCACACUCUAAUUCUCUUCCUCUCCAUGCUGCUGGCAACGUCUAUACCUGCUCUUCUGUAGCCGGCCUGAGCAUUGUUCCCUCUUUUCCAUUUAAAUGUUUGGCAUAUGUCCCUGCUCUUGAUCUCACUUUGCACACUUCUUUGUGAUAGUAUGCAUCACAGUGUCUUCUGAUCGCUCACAAAUGCUGACAGUUCCCAACUUCCCACCUGCCUUAACCUUGUAUCUGAUUACUGACUCUUACCCAGAUGCCAAGCGGACAUAGCCACCAGUGUGGCCACAAAUACCUCUGAGUUCAUACCACCCAUUCCCAUCCUCCCCUGUGUCAUCUCCUACAUUCCUUACCAUUCAAGCUACAAACUUGGGAAUCUUUGACUUCUUUUUUCCCUCCUCCUCCACAUUCAGUGGGUCACUGUCUCUAGCCAGUUCCUCUUCAUUCUUGCUGCUGCUUCUUGCCUUCAGGCCUCAAGCCAUCUUGGGUUUUGUCAAUGAUUUCCUUACGAACUGGUCUGUCUGCGUUCAGUCUUGCAUCUUCUAAACUAUGCUCCAUGUUGCUACCAAAUUGUAUUUCUAAAAUGUAAAUCUGGAGGUGCCUAAGUGGCUCAGUUAAUUAAAUGUCUGACUCUUGAUUUUGCCCCAGGUCAUGAUCUCAUGGUUUGUGAGUUGGAACCCUGCGUUGGGCUCCAUGCUGACAGUGCAGAGCCUGCUUGGGAUUCUCUCCCUCCGUCUCUCUCUGCCCCUCCCCUGCUCAUGCGCUCGCUCUCUCUCGCGCGCGCUCUCUCUCUCUCUCUCUCUCAAGAAUAAGUAAAUUAAAAAAAAAAAAGAACCUUUAAAAUGUAAACUCAAUUAUCCUUCAGUCUCUUCAGGAAUUCUCUUUUGCAUAUGAAAUAAAAGUCACUUUUUAGUGUAGAUAUGAGCCAUUCUUGAUAUAUAACCCCACCACUAUCUUUCUAACUCUCUUACAGCUUCCCUCUCUUUCAUCUAUUCUGAAUUAUGUGUAAUUGCUAAAAGAGUUGCACUCCCUGUCGCCAUGUGCAUUCUGUUUCCUCUGCCUGGAAUACAGUAAUAAAGCUCUGCUUGCCCUUUCAGAUUUAGUUUAAAUAUCUCCCUUGGCGGUGCUUCCUGACUGGUCAGUGAGAAUUGAGCAUCCCUUUGUGCCAUCAUCAUUCUACAUAGGAUCAUUGGUCUCUGCUUUUAGCCUGUGAGCUCCUUUAUGACAGAGAUAAUGCAGUAUUUAUAUUUGUGUGCAUAGUAUCUGGGAUGGUCAGUGCUCAAUAAAUGUAUAUUGAAAAGACCUGUGUAAAGUGCAGGUUUGUGAUCUUUAUGGUAAGAUGGGAACCUGGGGCUACAAACUUGAAUGCCAGAUGGUCUUGGUACAUUCAAAAAUAAUAAAAAUAAGGCAAGCUGAAUGUUAUCUAAUAAGAAGUGGUGAGGACUGUGGAAAACUAAGAAUACUUGCCUUAUCUACAAGGUACAUUUGCUUCUCAGCUCUGAUAUUUCCGUAUGGAAAUGCAGUGGGCCUACUUGCUAGAUAUCUAGAUUUUUUUAAUGUGAAGUUUCCUAAGAAGCUGUGUGAGCCAAACAAAACUUAUCAGGCGUGUAACCUAGUGUGACUUCUGAUCUAGAAAAGAACAGCUUAGUUUGGGUAAGGUAGGUUUUGAGAGUUUCGUUUGUUAAUGCACAACCCUACCUUUGUCAAUUGCUGAAAUAGAUGCUAAGUAAAUGCAUUUAGCCCUUGAAUGACAUAAAUGUCAACUACAUGGGUCCACUUAUACGUGGAUUUUUUUCAAUAACCAUAGUACAGUGCUACAAAUAUUUUCCUUAUUAGUAACAUUUUUUCUAGCUUACUUUAUUAUAAGAUUACGGUAUAUAAUAUAAACAACAUACCAAAUAUAUAUUAGUUUACUGGUAUUGUUAAGGUUUCUAGUCAAUAGUAGGCUGCUAGUAGUUAAGUUUUUGGGGAGUCAAGGUUGUAUGUGGAUUUUUGACUGCACAGGUAACAGUUAGGACCUCUAGUCCCCAUAUUGUUCAGGAGUCAACUUAUACUCAGGUUUCCAGCCAUAAUGUUUGUUAGCAGAGCUUAGAGCUGCCUGCUGUACCUCUUAGAAUCUGGUUUCUGUAUACAUGAUGCCCUCCAGUAUUCCUGAGCUGAACUAUAUUUUCACUGUGCCAGUAUACUAUCCUCUGGCCUUGUCCAAGUUCCUGACACCCUUGGCUGAAGGUCUUUGUGCUUUAUAAAACCCCAUAUUAACCUUAAAGACAUCUCUUCUACCAAUCUGGCUUGGACAUCUCAAAGCCCUGCUUCUACCACAUUGACCUGCUCAUCUUUAUGUGUCUUUCUGACUUGAGUUAUUGCUUGUAAAGAGUGGUUCUGUGCUUUAAGAAAGCCUGACCUUUUCAGCUACCAUGUUGUCAGUUCUAAUUUAGUCUCCGUCUAGUACAGGGGCCAGCAAAUUUGUUUUUAAAGAGUCCAUUAAUAAAUAUUUUAGGCUUUGCAGAACACAUGGUCUUUGUAGCAAAUAUUGUUUGUUGCACAAAAACAGCCAUAGAUAGCAUGUAAAUGAAUGGGUGUGAUUAUGUUUCAGUAAAACUAUAUAAAAUUAGGAAGCAGGCUAGAUUUGACUGCAAGAGAUAGUUUGCUGACUGUUGUUUUAGGAUUUUGAUUUCUACCUUUAUACCAUGUGAAAAGAUGGUUGAAGAUCGCAUGCCACACUCCACUCAUGCUGCAUUAGCCACACUAGCUUUCUCUCUUUUCCUUAAUCAUGCCCAUUCCUAUCUGAGACCCUUUGCCCAGGCUGUUUCCCCUGCCUGGCAUGCUUUCUCCCUCCCACCCCCAACUCUCUAUUCUUGCAGGUGUCCUAAAGGCUAUCUUUGACCAUUCAAUUGAAGGUGGCUCUCUUUUCAUUAUUCUCUAUCACAGUAUUCUCUCUGUUUCAGAGCACCUGUCACAGUUUAUAAUUACUUUACAAUUAUUUCUUUACUUUUUAUCAUCUCCCUCGGUAAACAGUAAGCUCCAUAGGACACAGAUCAUAUCUUUUUUUUAUUCACUCUGAUUCACCUAUGUAUCUGUAGAAUCUAACAAAAUGCCUUGUAUACAUUAACCACUCAACAAAUGUUUAUUGGAUAUAUCAGUAUAGAUAAAUCAGUCAGUGAGUCAGUCUGAAUUAUGAUUUGCCAAUAUAAUUGUUUUCACCAGAAAAUGAUAGAAUAGUUCUAUAGUAGUCUAAAGGUAAAACCACCAAAAAAAGUCAAAAUUUUAGCUUUCUGAUGAAUCCAGUUAUGUCCACAUAUGGGUUUCAGUCAUAGUAAUUGUUUCCUAAUAUAUUUGUACAUUCAUGCACUAAAAAUUCAUACAACUAAAAUGCCAUUCUAUAUAACUUUUUUCCCAAAGGUACAGAACGGCUCCAGCUGAAUAAGUAAAACAACACCAAGUUAUAGCAUGAGAUUUUAUGUGGCAUUAUAUCUCCUACAGGGAUGUUCAAGGCUAUAAGAAAAACACUGAUUAUAAUUCUGUCCUUUAGGAGGAAAGGUAUGUUUAGAUAAUAGAUGAAGUAGUGACAGGAGUAAGAGGGUCAAUUUUGAUUCUUUGGUAGCUGUCUUCAGAAUUAUAGAGUUAAGCAACUCUAAAUAAAUUUCAGAAAGAACUCUAUUAAAUUAGAACACAACAUAGUAUCUAAGGCUACUUAGUCUCUUUGUAUGUAUCUGAAAACCUUUUGUUGUACUAGUGGAGUAAAAAAACCUUUAGAUCAACAUUGCAUCUAUCCACACCUAACCUGUUAAAAGAACUAUUGGACUUACCUUCAGAAAAGGAAACUUAUGAAGCUGCAUAUAUUACAUUAUUGCCCUUUCUACUGGCAAAUAAGAUUUCUAUCAAGUUUGAAGUCCAUGUAUACAUAUAUGGCAAGAACCCACUGAACCAUAGAUACAUCAUCAAUUUCUUUGGUAUACCGACACUGCGCUCUGUAAUGAUUAUGUAAAUCCUUUCCCUCACCCUAAUUGUAAUCACUGAACUUACGAAGUAGAAAAGAAGCUAUUUGAGAUCCCAGGGUUGAAGCAUACUAUAUGCUGUAAAUAGAAGUGUUUCAUACAGAAAUAAAUAAGAGGCAUUCAAUUAUUAUGAGAUACGAGAAAGAAUUAAAGUACCCAAAUAGCAUUUAUUAACCAAAUAGUAUCCAACAUAAAAUGUUUUUUAAAAAAUAAAGGAUCUAGGUGGGUGCCUGGGUGGCUCAGUUGGUUAAGUGUCUGACUUUGAUCAAGUCAUGAUCUCACGGUUCUUGGGUUCAAGCCCCAUGUUGGGCUCUGUGCUGACGGCUGGAGCCUGCUUUGGAUUCUUUGUCUCCCUAUCUCGCUGCCCCACUUGUGCACGCGUGCUCUCUUUCUCUCUCAAAAAUAAACAUUAUUUUUUUUUUUUUUUAUAAAAAAUUAAAAGAAAGGAUCUGGGGCACCUGGGUGGCUCAGUCAGUUAAGCAUCCAACUUCAGCUCAGGUCAUGAUCUCACAGUUCGUGGGUUCAAGCCCUGCAUCGGGCUCUGAGCUGACAGCUCAGGGCUUGGAGCCUUCUUUGGAUUCUGUGUCUCCCUCUCUAUCUGCCCCUCUUCUGCUUGCACGCUCUGUCUCUCUCUCUCAAAAAACAAACAAACAAACAAAAUAACUAAAUAAAAGAUGGGGGCGCCCGGCUGGCUCAGUCAGUGGAACAUGUGACUCUUGAUCUUAGAGUUGUAAGUUCAAGCCUCACUUUGGGUAUAGAGAUUGCUUAAAAAACAAAUAAAUAAAUAAUUUAAAAAAUAAAAGGUGAAUUUGGGACACUGGAAGAGGAUUAUCUGUUAAAUUCAGCAGCCACUUUCAGUUCAGUUGGAUAUCUCCAAAACUUUCCGGAUUUAUCAUGCAGCUCCUUCUCACAAUAUUUUACAGGUUCCUCUUCUUCUCAAGCAUUAAAUAGUAGAGGCGCUGAAAUUUCAAUGCAAGGACACUUUUUUCCCUCUCACGUUAUUUUUCCUGGCCAAUCUCAAACAUGCCAUAACUUUAAUAAAUUAGUUUUAUAGUUAUAGCUCCCGAAUGGACAUCUCUAGACCUGACUGUUCCUGUGUGUUUAUGACCUAUCUAAUCAGCAUCUUCCAUGGAUAUGUCAAAAACACCUCAAACUCAACAUUUCUGUGGCAGAGAUGGCUAGUAUUUGUUUGCCCCCUUCUUCCUUACUACCGGAACCUUUAUUUCAUUUAGUUUGCAAUGUGCCUAGGUUAACAAGAAAAAAUAGCCUUCCCAACCUCCCUUCCUCUUGGAGAUGGCAAUAAUAUGGUGGAUGUCUUUGGGUGAGGUUUUCAGGAAGGCCAUUUAAGGGUGGGAAGAGACACUUAGCCUAUUUUCCCUUUCCCCUUUCUCUCCUGCCUGGAACUUGGAUAAAGGAAAAAAAAAGGGGGCAGUAAAUGGUCAAGAUUGAAAGCUUCCAAUCCAUAUAUUUUUUUAUUCAACAUUUUAGAUGAGUUGAAUUCUCACCUCUUAACCAGUAAUAUCAUUUUCCAACAAAUAUAAGCCAACCACUUGCUCAACCACAAUCUUCUUUCCAGUUUGAGUAUGCACUCAAGUUCAGCAGAAAGAGAGCAAAGUAGAGGAAAGUAAAGUUGAAAAGUGUAAGUGAGGGAGUAGCCCACUGUUUAAAGGCUUCAUUGAAGAGCCAGAAGGAACCACAAAGCAGAAAGAAGGUAUAAAGAGUAAAAGGGGCCAAUAAAGUAAAUAGAAACCAUCUAUAAAUAUGUCUCUUCUGGAGUUAAUUUUGCUGCCAGAAUUUUAAUAUGGGAGGACAUCAGAUCAUUUUAGAAAACGAUAGGAAGCCUAUAAAAUGUAUGACGGGAACCUUAUUCAAUGUUGUAAAGCUCUUAAAAGCAUGUUUUGUCGUUCCACUCAAUUCUCUGGGAAGAAGGAACUAUUUUAGUUGAUGACUGGUGGGUAGAGGGUAAAAUAUAACCAUGAAAGCUAGGUAUGGCAAAGAGGUGUAAAGAAAAAUGAUAAACUCAUAGAAUAUCUGGAUUGAAAAACCAAUCCUAUACCCAGUUUGUGAAUUUUCUUUACUACAUACCCUUUCCUUUCUUUUCGAACAGGAAAACUUCACCUCCAGAAUAAUUGUUCUCUGCUUUGUAGCUUUAGCCACACUAUCUGACCAUUACUAUGGGUAGAAGGAUAAUAUUUACUGAGUGCCUCAUAUAAGCCUCAUAUUUGUGGACAUUUCACUUUAUCCCGUGUUUUCAAAAAAGUUUUCCAAGGCAAUUUUCAAAACUGAGCUCGAAUGGCACAUUCAUUGUGACUCUAAAGCAGUUUUCUUUCUAAUGUGUCCUGUCUUGCAGGGGAGAGCAGAACUUUAAAGCAUCAAAAAAAAAAAUUGUUUUUAAUUUUAUUUAUUUUGAGGGGCAGGGGGUGGGGAAAGAGGAUUCAAAGCAGCCUCUGUCCUGACAGCAAAGAGCCCCAUGAAUUCAGGAACUGUGAGAUAAUGACCUGACCGAAGUCGGCCACCUAACUGACUGAGCCACCUACGUGCCCCUAAAGCAUCAGAUUUUAAAUUCAAACAUUUACCAGACCUUUUUAGAAGUUUCAGUUAAUUAAAUUGCUAUAUUCUGAAAAUGGGCAUUCAAAAAAGGUACCAUGUUUCUUAGGGUACUGGUGCUUUUUUAUCUCCCAGAAAAGAACAGGCCAGCAUUACUACUAGGGGAAGGAGUGAGAGCGGGAGAGAGUAGGAAAGACCAACAGACCUAUAGAAACAGUGGCCUCAGCUUUUAUUUUAUUUUAUUUUAUUUUAUUUUAUUUUAUUUAUUUUCUAAUGUUUAUUUUUGAGAGCGAGACACACACACACACACACACACACACACACACACACAGCAUGAGCAGGGGAUGAGUCAGAGAGAGAAGGAGACACAGAAUCUGAAGCAGUCUCCAGGCUCCGAACUGUCAGCACAGAGCCUGACAUGGGUCUCGAACUCACAAACCAUGAGCUCAUGACCUGAUCUGAAGUCAGAUGCUUAACUGACUGAGCUACCCAGGCGCCCCUGGCUCCAGCUUUUAGAGAAAAUUUAUAAUUCAGUUGCCCAGAGAAAGUCUGGGUAACCUGAACAUCGUGAAGCAAGUCUAACAGAUUCCAAGGGGCAAGGGGGAUGACCCACAGUUAGAAGACAACAGUUUUGUGCAAACACUGCUCCUAGAACCAGGGAAUUACGAAGCUAUGACUGUCACAAAGUUAUCAUUUCAUUAUUUCAGUUUUACAGAUUUUACUUUGAAAAGCUUUUUUGUAUAAUUUGUACAGAGCCAUGAAGUAACAUGUAUCUUGCCUUAGAUUCAAGUGCUGGCUCUUGAUUCUCAUCAGAUGAAUAACUAUUUCUAUACCAUUUGAUUCAAAAAUAGAUGUAUAAUUAAACAACUAUACUAAAGAACCAUCAAAUAAAUAACCACUUUUUAAGUUAACUUUUAAAUCUAACUCAAGCUGUAUUGUAAUUCCUAUUCUUUUUUUUUUUUAAGAACUUAUUUUUAAGUAAUCUCCGCACCCAACAUUGGACUCAAACUCAUAACGCUUACAUCAAGUCUCCCACUCCACUGACUGAACCAGUCAGACACCCCUGUAAUUCCUAUUCUUAGGAUUUUAUUGUUGGUCUUUUCUCUAUAUUCGAUUUUAAUGCCUAAAAAAUACUAAGUUCUACACUAUUGUCACUGGGAGUUUUAACAUCUAUUAGUGAAGAGGAUGGGAAAAAAAGGUACAAAUCUGGUACCUGGAAACCUUGAAUACCAAGGCACAAAGCCUCGGGUCAAAGUUUGCCAUAUCCAUCCUUGCCAACAGAGAUGGACGAGUCCAGUGGCCAAAGUGGAUAAACUUUCUUUUUGUAAAGUUAUUGUAACUUGGGUGGAAUUUGUCUUGAAGUCUUAAUCUUGCCAUUUGAGUUCACAAAUACUAGCAGUGUGCCUGGCUCAUCACCUUGAUACAGGUCACAAGUGUGGGGAGUAUAGAUGUUAAGUCUCUUCUUCACCGUGAACUGUCAGCACAUAGGCAUAGCUAUUAGAGGGACAAAAGGUCUAAAUACCAAGGGAAGUGCUUCAAUGAUUAUCAUAGGAAAAUAAGCCUAAAGUAAUGCAGCAUCAAUAUAACUACAGGUAUACAGUCAUAAUGUGUAGUGUUUAUAAAUCAAUAAAUAACUUAGUUUGGGGAUUAAAUACUAUUUCUGAUACUCCAGGUAGAGGCAUUAAACAGAAAAAUAUAAAUUCAUUAGUGGCAAAUGAUACAGAUUUUUUAAAGAUGCGGAGAACAUCAUUAUUUUUAUUUCUAUUGGGAUACUAAUAAUGCCAAUUACCGCUAUAUAGAUAAUUGAAAAUACAAAUCAUAUUUAUCUCAACUCACAUUAACUCUUCUGCCUCCCAGGAUAAUCUCUCAUGUUUAUGAUGAGAGAUUUUAGUAAUUAAAAAUUUUUUUUCUAAGUUUUUUAACAUUUAUUUUUGAGAGACAGAGAUAGAGCACAAGCAGGGGAGGAGCAGAGAGAGAGAGAGAGAGACAGAAUCCAAAGCAGGCUCCAGCCACCAAGCUGUCAGCACAGAGCCUGAUGCAGGGCUCGAACUCAUGGACCCCAAGAUCACGACCUGAGCUGCAGUUGGCCGUUUAACCAACUGAGCCACCCAGGCACCCCCAAAAUUUUUUUGCUAUUCAGUGAUGUUAUUACUUUCUACAGUUUCUUUAUUCCUUGAUAUACUACGACUUAUGCUAGAGGUGCUUGCUUUUCUUACUACCUAUUAUGAAUUCCCCUUUUCAGUUUAUUUUCAACUAAUUAUUAGAUAGCCUGCUUUUUAUUGUCCAUAUGCAUUAAGUAGUUAGCAGGUACUUAUUUUUUUCUGUUUUUGUUUAAGUAAUCUCUAUACCCAACAUGAGGCUCAAACUCACAACCCCAAGAUCAAGAGUCACCAGGUGCCCCAAGUUAGCAAAUACUUACUAAACAUCCACUUGGUACCCAACAGUAGGCUAAGUUCUGGGAAUAUAGCAGUAGACAAGGCAGACGUGGUCCCUGUCCUCAUGGAGCAAACCUUACUAUCUAGUCACAAGAUCUGUUUCCAAUAAGCCUUUUGUUGAUGCUUCAUUAUUCAAGACUCUUCUCUCAUUUCUUACUCAUUUAUUUAUACAACAAACAGUAGUGAGUAUCUGUAUGGACCCAGGACACCAUGACGAUAUAAUUGAGAAAACAGACAUAACCUAAAUUAUAGCACUGUCGUUAAAGUAAUGCAGUGAUAGCAUGAAAUAUAUACAUUGAAAAUAGAAAAGGCAGAUCAACAGCUCUGGAUGGAAAAGAGAAUAUUCAAGCAGAAUUAAAGAUUAGUAAGCAAAGAAGACGGAGAAGGACUCUUGAGGCUGAGGAACGAGCAUUUGGAAAAAGAUAAGGAAUGACAUGUUCAAUAUGCUAUUCUCUGUAAGAACUUCAUUGUAGUUAAGUAUAAAGGACACAAAGUGCCAUAAAAAGAGAGGAGUCUCUCAAAUGGGCUAGAGCCAGAUUGUGAAAGGUUUUGCUCACGACUGCCUUGGCAUGUUGGAGUCAUUGAACACAUCUUAGUAACUUAAGGGCUUAAAUGAGGAAGAGUGAAAAAUGUUCAUGUAACUGUGUUUCACUUCCUUCUAAUUGCUCAUGGGGUUCACCAGGUGCUUCUUCCUGACUUUAACUGAAUAGUUCUGCUUGCCAUACAAGACUCGUUUGCAUUUUAACUCUCAUGUAAUACUUAAACACUAUUGCAGUUAUCACAGCUUUCUCACAAACCAAGUAAUAAUAGGGACAAUUUGAAAUUUGAAAUUAGAUUUACUUUUGUUCUUACUAAUAAAUUGUUUGAAUUUAAAAUGAUAUAUUCAUUUCACACAACUAAUUCCUUCAUUUAGCAUACAAAUACUUUGAAAGUAAAAUCAUUAAAUACUUUGAUGUUGGUUAUGAAACAAUACUCAGGUAGCUUCUUCCUGCUAUUUCUCUAUUUUUUUUUUAAGUUAAAAGUCUAUUUUGAAGAGAUUUUUGCCACACAUAUAAAUGCCAAAGCAGGGAAAAAUGGUUUAAAAUACCAUUAAACUAGGGGCGCCUGGGUGGCUCCGUCGGUUAAGCAACUGACUUCUGCUCAGGUCAUGAUCUCGCAGUUCAUGGGUUCGUGCCCCGUGUCAGGCUCUAUGCUGACAGCUCAGAGCCUGGACCCUGCUUCGGAUUUUGUGUCUCCCUCUCUCUCUGCCCCUCCCCCUCCUCAUGCUCUGUCUGUCUUGUCUCUCAAAAAUAAAUACACGUUUAAAAGAAAUUUUUUUUUUUAAAUAAAAUACUGUUAAACUAAAUAAAGGCAAUGAAGCUUAAACCAAUCGUUAUUCUUAUGGGAGGCACCAAGUCAAUACUUAUCCCAUUCUUGAGAAGAAAUAUCUGAAUGCAGGAUGUUUGUGGUUUUAAAGUAAGUCUUUCCUUAAGUUCAGGAAACAUAUAUUAAGUACUUACUCUAUGCCAAACUUCAUUUUAGUCACUAAAAAUAUAAAAAUGAGUAAAACAUGCUUCCUGCUCUCAAUGGACUUGUCAUCUACUGAAAUGUUAAGUUGAACCAUAUGAAAUUGCUUUUUCCAGGUCAAAAAUGGUCAAAUACCAGUUCAGCCUAACAUGUAUAUGUAAACAGAUUUUCCAUGAUAGAGAUAGGAACGAGGUACUACACACACUGAGAAAGUGCUUCAUGCUGCCUAGAGCAUUCAGUGAAAGCUUCCCAAAGGAGAUGACAUUUGAGCUGAGUUUUAGAAAAUGAUUGGGAGUUCACUGUGUGUUUACAGGAAGCGAAGAGAAUGAGGGCAUUCCAGAAAUAGGAAACAGCAUGUGCAGAGUUGUUGAAGCGAGAAUGAGCCUAGCGCAUGUGGGAAAUUGCACAUAGUUCAGACUGGUUGCAAUGCCAGAUAUGUUGGGGGUGACAGGAGACGAGGCAGGUGAAGUAAGCAGAGGGCAGAUGGUGGAAGGUUGAUGUUUUAAGCCAAAGAGCUUGAUUUUAUCCUUGAAAUUGGUGAGAUGUCUGUAAUCUAGGGAGUGUGCAAGGCAAUCUGUCAGGAGUCAGAAAGAAAAUAUUACUAGUUAUAUGUAUAUAUUUUUAAGUUUAUUUAUUUUGAGAGAAACAGAAACAGCACAAGCAGGGGAGGGCAGAGAGAGGGAGAGAGAGAGAAGCCCAAGCAGGCUCCAUCAUGCCAGCACAGAGCCCAACAUGGGGUGUGAACUCCUGAAACCGUGAGAUUGUGACCUGAACCAAAACCAAGAGUCAGACACGCAACCAGCUGAGCCACCCAGGCGCCUCUACUUCAUGUAUAUUUACCUUUGCCUUAUCUUUUUCAAAUUUCCAAUUAAAUAGGGGUUAUAGGGGGCGCCUGGGUGACUCAGUUGAUCAGGUAUCUGACUCUCGGUUUCAGCUCAAGUCAUGAUCUCAGUUCGUGAGUUUAAGGCCCACAUCAGGCUCUGUGCUGACAGCAUGGAGCCUUUUUUGUGAUUUUCUCUCUCUCUCCUUCUCUCUCUGCCCCUCCACUGCUCUCUCUCUCAAAAUAGUAAAUAAAUAAACUUAAAAAAUAGGAGUUAUAAUGUAUAUAAUUCUUAAUGCAGUACUGGAUGUGAAUAGUGUAUAAAUAAAUGUACAUGUAUUAUGGUGUGUUACAGAUUGAAUUGUGUUCCCCAAAAUUCAUGUUGAAGUUCUAACCCCUAGUAUCUCAGAAUAUGACUUUGUUUGGAAAUAGGGUACUUGCAGAUGUAAUUAGUUAAGAUCACACCAGAGUAGUGUGGGCCUCUAAUCCAGUAUAACUGGUGUCCUUAUAAAAUAGAUCACGCCACAUGAAGAUGGAGGCAGAUGUUGGACUGAUGCUUCUACAAGCCAGAGAACUCCAAGGUGGCCAGCAUAUCAUCAGAAGCUAUGGGAGAGGCAUGAAACAGAUCUUUCCCUCACUGCCCUCAGAAGGAACAGGUGGUGCUGACACCUUGAUCUCGGAUUCUAGCCUCCAAAACUGUGAGACAAUUUUCUCUUGUUUAAGCCAUCUAGUUUAUGGUACUUUGUUAUGGUGGCCUUUGAAACUAAUACAUGGUGCAUGGUCGAAAAGUUUGGAGACCCCAGUUAGAGAAUGAGAGCCAUGGAAGAAUUGGUAUAUGUUUAAGAGUCCAAACUAUAUAUGUCCUGUCUUUAUUCAUUUUCUAUAUUUAAUAACUUAUUUUAGGGCACCUAGGUGGCUCAGUUGGUUAAGCAUCUGACUUCAUUCAUGUCAUCAUCUCACAGCUCAUGAGUUUGAGCCCUGCAUUAGACUCUGCUGACAGCUCAAAGCCUGGAGCCUGCUUCUGAUUCUGUAUCUCCGUCUCUCUCUGUCCCUUUCCCCGUUCAAGUUGUGUGUCUCUCUCUCAAAAAUAAAUAAACAUUAAAAAAAAACUCUAAAAAGUAAAUAACUAAAUUGAACAGAUUUCUUAGCUUCUCAGUGCUUCUAUUAAAGACACUAUAGUAGAAAACAAUGUGUUCAUCUUUGUGUUUGGUGUAGUUUAUGUUAAAGGAAGGAGGAAUUAGGAAAUACUUGACUUAGUAUAGUUCAAAACAGGGCCAGUUUUAGGGAAAAAAUUUAUAUUUAAGAACCCCAUUAGGCAGAAGUGGAGCCAAAAUCAGAAAUAG